GCUGAGGGAAAGGGAGAUGAUGGGGACAAGGAUUAGUGAUAUAGUAUGGAAGUAGCUUGGAAGAAGGACAGAACUGAUGAUGCUGAACUUAUCACAGGGAGGUGUCCAAUAGGAGUAGCUUCCAAUCCAGCUUUACUUCCAGAAUUAAAGCCUUGUUGUCCUUGGAUUCCAUUUUCCUGCCUAAAUCUGGGAAUGUAUCUACCACAGACUCAAUGCCAGAGAUGAAGAACCAGAUCGCUGAUGAGGUCUUCAACAGCAGUGCCGUUCUCGUUGAACCAGUCCUGGUGGUUGCGCUGCUCUGGGCCUAGGACUGCCUUUGAUGUUUCCUUCACUGCGUCUCUGAACUGGUUCCAUCUCUCAGCUGAGCCUCCAGUGAGCGGUCCCCUAGCAGACAGCCCGCUGUCCAGGCAGGACUGGAAUGCCCGCAAAUAAGAUGGAUCUCCAAGACGACUCACGCUGCAAAAUGUGCG
This 470-nucleotide long non-coding RNA is filed under the name Monodelphis domestica (gray short-tailed opossum). RNAcentral describes it as "lncRNA (ENSMODG00000034331.2)". Lineage: Eukaryota; Metazoa; Chordata; Mammalia; Didelphimorphia; Didelphidae. The record is from RNAcentral.